CACCGCCCGUCACAUCACGAAAAGUGGGUUGUACUAGAAGUCUGCGGCCUGACCCGCAAGGGGAGGAGCGGCCCAAGGUAUGACUCAUGAUUGGGGUG
Molecule: ribosomal RNA, 98 nt
Filed under: uncultured bacterium
Lineage: Bacteria
Description: partial 16S ribosomal RNA
Source: RNAcentral